AAAAAACAACUUUCAACAACGGAUCUCUUGGCUCUCGCAUCGAUGAAGAACGCAGCGAAAUGCGAUAAGUAAUGUGAAUUGCAGAAUUCAGUGAAUCAUCGAAUCUUUGAACGCACCUUGCGCUCCUUGGUAUUCCGAGGAGCAUGCCCGUUUGAGUGUCGUGAAACCAUCAAACCCUCCAAGGUUUUUCUAACCUUGAGAGAGGCUUGGAAUUGAGGGUCCUUGCCGGGUUCGUCAAGAGUCGGGCUCCCUCGAAAGUCAUUGGCUUGUGAUACCUCCGAUGCUGAAUGGCGUGAUAGGCAAUAUCUACGUCUGGAGCUGGAAGGGGCACGAACGAGCCUUCUCUUCAAGUCCUUUGAGACUUCUUUCUCUUUUGACCUCAAAUCGGGUAGGACUACCCGCUGAACUUAAGCAUAUCAAUAAGCGGAGGA
Molecule: ribosomal RNA, 431 nt
Filed under: uncultured fungus
Lineage: Eukaryota; Fungi
Description: eukaryotic LSU rRNA
Rfam family: 5.8S ribosomal RNA (bases 8-161)
Source: RNAcentral